RNAcentral lists this ribosomal RNA (523 nucleotides) under uncultured bacterium. RNAcentral's name for it is "bacterial SSU rRNA". It matches the Rfam family "Bacterial small subunit ribosomal RNA", at positions 23 to 518 of the family's 1533-position model. The record is from RNAcentral.
GUCAGGACGAACGCUGGCGGCGUGCCUAAUACAUGCAAGUCGAACGGUCUUUCUAUGGAAGCUUGCUUCCACUGAGAAGAUAGUGGCGAACGGGUGAGUAACACGUGGGUAACCUGCCCAUAAGAGGGGGGAUAACAUCCGGAAACGGGUGCUAAUACCGCAUAGUUUUCUUGAUCGCAUGAUCGGGAAAGGAAAGACGGCCUUUGUGCUGUCGCUUAUGGAUGGACCCGCGGCGUAUUAGUUAGUUGGUGAGGUAACGGCUCACCAAGACGAUGAUACGUAACCGACCUGAGAGGGUGAUCGGCCACAUUGGGACUGAGACACGGCCUAAACUCCUACGGGAGGCAGCAGUAGGGAAUCUUCCGCAAUGGACGAAAGUCUGACGGAGCAACGCCGCGUGAGUGAAAGAAGGUUUUCGGAUCGUAAAACUCUGUUGUCAGAGAAGAACAAGUUGGAGAGUAACUGCUCCAGCCUUGACGGUAUCUGACCAGAAAGCCACGGCUAACUACGUGCCAGCCGCGGC